GACGAACGCGGGCGGCGUGCUUCACACAUGCAAGUCGAACGAUGAAGCCCAGCUUGCUGGGUGGAAGAGUGCCGAACGGGUGAGUAACACGUGAGUAACCUGCCCCUGACUCUGGGAUAAGCGCUAGAAAUGGCGUCGAAUACUGGAUAUGACCUAUCACCGCAUGGUGUGUAGGUGGAAAGAUUUAUCGGUUGGGGAUGGACUCGCGGCCUAUCAGCGUGUUGGUGAGGUAAUGGCUCACCAAGGCGACGACGGGUAGCCGGCCUGCGAGGGGGCCCGGCCACACUGGGACUGAGACCCGGCGCAGACUCCGACGGGAGGGAGCGGUGGGGAAUAUUGCACAUGGGGCGCAAGCCUGAUGCAGCAACGCCGCGUGAGGGAUGACGGCCUUGGGGUUGUAAAGCUCUUUUAGUAGGGAAGAAGCGCAAGUGACGGUACGUGCAGGAAAAGCACCGGCUAACUACGUGCCAGCCGCCGCGGUAA
Molecule: ribosomal RNA, 483 nt
Filed under: uncultured bacterium
Lineage: Bacteria
Description: partial 16S ribosomal RNA
Rfam family: Bacterial small subunit ribosomal RNA
Source: RNAcentral